GGGGAUGUGGCUCAGUGGUAAAGUGCUUGCCUAGCAAGAGUAAGGGUCCAGGUUCAACACCUAAUACCUCUCCC
RNAcentral lists this transfer RNA (74 nucleotides) under Marmota monax (woodchuck). RNAcentral describes it as "tRNA.Ala". Lineage: Eukaryota; Metazoa; Chordata; Mammalia; Rodentia; Sciuridae. The record is from RNAcentral.